Molecule: long non-coding RNA, 17639 nt
Filed under: Daucus carota (carrot)
Lineage: Eukaryota; Viridiplantae; Streptophyta; Magnoliopsida; Apiales; Apiaceae
Description: long non-coding RNA (DCAR_LNC006037)
Source: RNAcentral
GGGAGCAAAAGAGUGAUGGACGUUGAGACCUAUUCGUACAAUUUAAGGGGUGUAUAAACGAUCACUUUCAUCAUGAAUACCCAAGAACAGCAAAAAAUGACGUAUAUUAGUUGGACACACAAACAAUUCUAUCACAAGGAAAAAGAUGUUGCUUAUAGAAAUCUUCAGAACUGACAUAUUUAAGAUGGAAGGAUAAGAAACGUGGCAUGUUAGAUUCAUAUGCCGGUAUUUUCUUGGAGAAAAGUUGGCUAGUUUUGCCUUUUCGUGUAAUAUCAAUUUGUGAGACUAGGUCAGAAACUGCAGCUAGAGUGCCCAUUUGGAAGUCACUCAUAGUACGAAACGCCUCCCAUUUAUCAGCUUCCAGGAUAACAGAGCAUAUAUCCUUUGAUUAUGGCACGACCCAGCGGGGCAUAAAUUGCCCAGAGUUGGUUCACCAAUCGCGUAAGGAAGGGGAUAGUCCCCACCAUCACAUGCCUGAAAGAGUCGUUUGAACCACGGAAGACUGCGCCAAUGCCUCAAGUGUUACCAAUUUCAGAAGGAACGAGAGAAUGUGUUCCAUGAACGUUUACUUUCAGAGUGCCUGGGUUGGGCGGAAUCCAGUGAUAUGCCAUGUUUGCACUGUUGAAAAAGAAAGUAGAGCCCCGAAUUUUUAUGGCUGCAUACUUGCAAAAUUUGGAGAAGAUUUGUACUACUUAACGUUUGUAAGUAAAUGCUCGACUGAAGCUUGAGAAGAACCACCUGAGUUCAUCAUUGCUAAUACAGUUGACUUACACAUGGAACUCAGCAUGUAUUAGCAAGUGAAGAUACGGAAUCAAUGUAGGGAGUUCCAUGCAAGUUAAUAUACUUUGAUAAUUCUAUAUGAAGCAGUCUAGUAAUGACAACAAAAGUAGCCCUCUCUUGCAGGUCCAUGAUGAAAGCCAAUUAAAAGAAUUUUGCCAAGCAUAACUUCAUGUUUUCUGCCGACCACAAAGCAUGACCUACUAAAUUAAUGUUUUUGACGUAGUAAAGCAGCAUCUCAACUAGAGAAGCGUGAAGUACAGAGAAAGGCAAGGCCCUCUCUUUCCUUGUCACACCUAUGGAAAGUACUUCUCACGCAAGGCAAGGAGAGCAGCAUCCGGUUCAUGCACUUCAAUUAAGUACAGUAACGCAGAUGCCAUAGAUGCAUCUGCUGCAAACCGAUGACCAAGCAUUUCAUCUAGGUACACCUGCUUCAUAGUAAUUCUUAUUCUGUAAACAACCGCAGAAAAGCAUGUUCAAUGUGACAUCAUUAGGCAAGCAAUCUUUGGCUUCCGUAUAGUUCACUCGCUUCAUCCAAUAACCCUUCAUGACAAUAUGCUUGGAUCAUCACUGUGUAUGUCUUGACAUCAGAUGGCACACAUUUCACAGGAAAGUUGUUAAAAAUGCUUCUUGCGUUCUCCAGAUGUGUUUUUCACCAGUCUGGAAAUCCACGCCAGCAAUUUUUUGUUCCACCUAAAAAUUAGGACAUAAUGGAGCCUGUCUAAACGAAGGUACACAAAUUUUCAGAAAGUUUGCCAUGUGUUUGUCUUGCCAGGUACUUGCAAGAUGAUCCAUAGAUGCGGGAGCAAAAGAGUGAUGGACGUUGAGACCUAUUCGUACAAUUUAANAUUUAAAUCAGGCAAGUGGUUUUUAGUAGUACUAAUAAAUUAGUCUGAUGCAAGUCUGGAUAACAACAUUGCAAGUACUUUAGCUGAGAAAAUGCUCAAUGUAGUAUUGUACAGAGGGGCACAAGGCUAGUGAACAAAUAGCUGGCAGAGUGCUCAUAGACUUGCCUUGAUUAGAAGACCUUAGUUUAACUAUUAGCACUUGCAAUUUCUUAACAUUUAGGCAUGCUUAUCAGCUUCUUCACAUCUCUGCUUGAGAACUUAAAACACAGAAACACAAAUAUUUAAGAUGGAAGGAUAAGAAACUUGGUAUGUUAGAUUCAUGUGCAGGUAUUUUUUUGGAGAAAAGUUGGCAUGUUUUGCCUUUUCGUGUAAUAUGCAUCCAUCAGAAUUUACAUGUAUAAACAACAGGGCUAGCAGUUGAACAAAAAUUCAAACAGGAACCAUUUAAUUGAAUAUCAUCAUAACAGGAAAUAAAGGUCUUAUAUGGAGAUUUUGACUGAACAACAGAAGUGCAUCAUCGAGCUAUUAAAAUCCAAAUUAGAAUCAUAUGAAGCAACUAUUGCAAGAAUUUCUUACGCAAAGCAAGAAGAGCCAUGGAUAAGUGUUUUGUAGGUAGCAUCACUAGGCAAGCAAUUACUAGCUUGCAUUUUCACAAAAGUUUAUUAGCUUCAUCCAGUAGCUCCCCUUGACAAAAUGUGUAAAUCUUGACAUUAGGUCUUAAGCGAACGAAGGCUGUUAAAAAGACUUUUUGCCUUUUCAAAAUGUCCGUCUUUGCUUCCACACGUCUGCCUGCAAGAAAAUAACAUUCCAAUAUAGUACGGUAACUCUCAAUAGUUGCUUUUAAACCUUCAAAAAUGCUGGCAAAAUCGAAAAGAGUAUGUACCUUAAAAAAUGCUGGCAAAAUCGAAAAGAUUAUGCUGGAAAUAUCUAGCAUAAAUAAAUGAAAGUAAUAAAUUUUUAAAUAAUUAAUGAUUUGAAUCAUUUAUUUUUAAACAAAAAAUGAUCGAUCAAUUUCUAACCUUAACAAUGUAUAAGAAAAUAAUAUCAUUAUAAAAUCAAUAUCUACCACUUAAAAUUGAAUAAAAAAUAUUUUAAUGCUAUAUUUUUACAUAAUCUUCACAUUCGUAUCAUCGGAUCAUUUAUAAGCCGCACUAAAAAAAUAAAUAAAUUCUACAGUGGCGUUUAGAAACUCUAUGUUCAUAUACAAUCAGUAAAAAAAUAACUAAUAAAAUGACAACUAUUAAUCAUAAAUACAAUAAAAUAGAUUGUUCAAGCUAGGUAGACAGCAUAACUCAGUCCUCGUACUUCCCACGAACUCUAAACACCUGGGAAUUAUAAGGGCGCUAUAUAGCAAGGUCCAAGGAACACCUUUUAUAAAGAUUCAUAUACAAUGGAGACCAUAGAGGGUAAUGGUACAUGCUGGUUUUGAACAAAAAGAGUUGGGAUUUAAAGAUAAUGUCAAAAGAUAAGAAUUUUAUUUGGAGGGUGGUCACAAGAUUUAUUCCUAUGACGAUGAAGUUGGUUAAAAAAAAGUACUGAUUCAAAAUAGUGCUUGUAUGUAGGAAAGAUAGUGAGACAAUAUUUCACUUAUUGGUUUCAUGUUUUCUUAUUCAUGUUUGCCGGAGAAAGAUGAAGGUAAUAAAUUUGAGGAAAGAUAAAGUUAAUAAAUUUGAGAAAUAAUGCCAAAUUUGGUUGUUGACUCUCAAAUUUGUAUGACAAAGUCGUAAGAAAAUGAGUAUAUUAGUAGAUAAGCAAUUAUUGGUAGAUAAUAUUGAUGCAUUAGUAUUUCUUCACUUACACAUUUGAGCCUGUUGAUAAGUUAAGUCUCAAACUGAUACUAAAAAAUGAAUUCUCAACCUGAAGCACGAUGUGAUUAUAGUUUUGUAACACGAUCGAGAUCGCGAGAUUACUUUAUGAAGGCUCGUACUCAUAAUUGUACUUAAAAUAUUUAAAUAAUGAAAACGUAGAUAUUAAAAAAUAUAUUUUAGUGCUCAAUCUCCCGGAGAACAUGUUUGCUUAUUUGGGAGCUGGAUUAGGUCUCUGUUAUCUAUUUGAAUCACGCAAGUGGUUUUUAGUAGUACUGAGAAAUUAUUCUGAUGCAAGUCCGGAUAACAACAUUGCAAAUACUUUAACUGUGAAACAGCUCAAUGUAGUAUUGUACAGAGGGGAACAAGGCUAGUGAACAAAUAGCUGGCAGAGUGCUCAUAGACUUGCCUUGAUUAGAAGACCUUAGUUUAACUAUUAGCACUUGCUAUAUCUUAACAUCUAGGCAAUGUUUAUCGGCUUCUUCACAUCUCUGCUUGAGAAGUUAGAACACAGAAACACACAUAUUUAAGAUUGAAGGAUAAGAAACGUGGUAUGAUAGAUUCAUAUACCGGUAUUUUCUUGGAGAAAAAGUUGGCUAGUUUUGCCUUUUCAUGUAAUAUGCAUCCGUCAGAAUUUACAUGUAUAAACAACAGGGCUAGCAGUUGAACAAAAAUUCAAACAGGAACCAUUUGAUUGAAUAUCAUAACAAGAAAUAGAGGUCUUAUUUCGAGAUUUUAACUGAACAAUAGUAGCGGAUUAUCAAGCUAUUAAAAUCCAGAUUAGAAUUAUAUGAAGCAAGUAAGCAACUAAUGCCAGAAUUUCUUACACAAAGCAGGAAGAGCAGGAACCUGUUUUUUAAUUCAAGUAAUCCCAGGGCCAAGGACAUUAAAAUGCAUCUGCGGAGCCUUGAGCACACAUUGCUUCUACAAGUACAAUUGCUUCACUGUACUUAUUGUGAAAACAGCCGUGGACAACUGUGUUGUAGGUAGCAUUAGGCAAGCAAAUACUAGCUUCCAUUUUCACAAAAACUUUAUUAGCUUCAUCCAGUAACCCCCCUUGACAAAAUGUCCAUCUUUGCUUCCACACAUUUGCCUGUAAGAAAAUAACUUUGUAAUAUAGUACUGUAAGUCUCAAUAGUUGCUUUUAAACCGUCAAAAUUGCUGGCAAAAUCGAAAAGAUUAUGUACCUGAGAACUCUCUCCUUUGUAACACCUACGGCGAGUACUUCUUGCACAAAGCAAGCAGAGCAGGAUUCUGUUCUUGCACAUCAAGUAAAUCCAGUAAACCAGAUGCAGUAGAUGCGUCUGCUGCAAAGCCGCGACCAAACAUUUCAUCUAGGAGUACACCUGCUUCAUAGUAAUUCUUAUUCUGUAAACAACCGCGAAUAAGCAUGUUGUAUGUGACAUCAUUAGGCAAGCAAUCAUCAGCUUCCAUUUCCCUGAAUAGUUCAUUUGCUUCAUCCAAUAACCCUUCAUUACAAUAUGCUUGGAUCAUCACUGUGUAUGUCUUGACAUUAGGUCGCAAACCUUUCGCAGGAAGGUUGUCAAAAAGGCUUCUUGCAUUCUCGAGAUGUCCAUUUUUGCUCAGUCCAUCCAUCAGAAUAGUGUAAACAUGUAUAUCAGGAACUAGCCCACGGGAUUCCAGUAUUUGAAAGAAGGAUAGUGCUUCAAAUACAUAACAAUUCUGGCAAAGACCAUGCAACAAGAUAUUGCAUGUCACUAUAUCUAACUCAACACCUUCGUUAAUCAUCUUUUCCUUAAAAAAUUUACGUGCUUCAACAUGUCUACCCGCAUAAAAAAAACCUUGCAGUAUAGUACUGUAAGUCUCAAUAGUUGGGGCUAAACCUUUAGAGGGCAUCUGUUGAAAAAGAGCUAUUGCUCUGUCCACUUUCAUCUUUCUACAGUACCCGUUGAUCAGAAUAUUAUAGCUAAGAGCAUUAGGCAGUAUUCCCUUUCUCGCCAUGCUUUCGAACACUGCUAAAGCUUUAUCAACCUCUCCCCUCAAGCAGUAUCCAUCCAUGAGUGAGCUGUAAGUGACUACAUCAGGAUCUACUCCUUUUUGAAUCAUCAACUCUAUCACAUCCUCUGCAUCUUUAACCAUUCCUUCUUUGCAAUACGCAUCAACCAAUAUAUUGUAAGUAAAAUCAUUUUGAGAAAUGUUCCUAACAUCCAUCUCCUUGAGCAAUUGUUUGACAUCAUGCCAACGAUUAACGUCACACAGACCUUGAACUAAAGAGUUGUAGGUUAUAACAUCUGGAGAUAUGCCCCUGAUGAGGCAUAUCUUGGGAAAUAAGGCCCCUGAUGAGAGUGGUAUAAGUAACCACACUUGGCACAAAACCGAGCUUGAUGAUUCCAGCCAAUAGUGAAAAGGCAAAAUCGACGCGAUUCAAGUGACAAAAGCAGUUAAUGAGAGUAUUAAAGGUAAUGACAUUAACAGGGAUGCUUUCUACACGCAUCUUUCUAAAAAGGGAGACAGCUACGGAGUAGUGUUUCAUUUUAACAAGGGCAGCUAAUAGUUGAGUGAAGUCGAUAACAGUAGGCGAGGCUUCAUAAGGAGCAUUUUAUCAAACAGUCGAAGAGCGGCAAGAAGUAAAUGUUGAAGACGAGCGUGAGAUGGAUCAGAGGAAUAAGGGAAACGGGGUUUGGGUUUAAAGGGAAUAUUAGGGUUAGGGUUAGUGGAGAAGUGAGAAACUGCAAUAACAGAAUGUCUUAGGAAUCGAGAAUUUGAGAUGACAAAUUUCUUCAUCGUCGUCAUCAUCAUGAUAUCUAUACUUGUUGGACACUCAAAAAAUUAGCCGGCAGAGCAGAGCAGAUGAUAUCAAUUCUUUUCAAUAGUGAUCGAAACUGAAUCACAGUGAAAACGGCGAAAACUUAGAACUAAUCAACAAGAAACAAAACAAACAACACUUGGCAGUUUUUCGUAAAACAGAAGGAAGGAACUCAUCACCCAUUUUAAUGGUAUUAACCCUAACUCGAACGUGUUUUACUCCCAUGCAAACUUGAACCAUGUAUAUCUCUUUUUAAUUUUAACGUAUUUAUUUCAAAACAAAACAAACAACUAAGUCUAUAAAAGAUAAAUAAUAUAUUUUUUCUUAUAAAUGAUGAAAUUUAAAUUAUGAUAUAAAUAUUUAUUAAAAAACAGAUUAUCACAUAUGUAUAGGGCUGUAAAAUGAACCGGGUGAUCCCGGGUACUCCUCUCCUCAAGUACCGGAUCAUAUUAUUUUUAGCUUGUCCAGAUUUGGGUUCGGGAUCGUUUUAUUCGGGUAUAAACCGAUCCCGAGUAUUUGAGAUUCGGAUCUGAACCGGAUAUGAUCCAGUAUCGUAUUUUCUAUUUUUUAACCGGGUAGUUUAUAAUCCAUCAAAUAUGAGCCGGAUAUGAUCCACUAACAUCAAAUAUCAUUAUUAUUUCAGUUGUUCAAAUAAUUAUCAUUUAGUUUAAGUAAACAUAAUAUUAUAAAGUAUAAUAGUUUUGAAUUAAAACUUAUAGUUAUGUGUUGGUAUAUAUCAUUUAUUAAAUAUAUAUGAAGAUAAUAAGCAUGAUCACAUUAAAUAAAUCAUAUUUUAUGAAGAUAUAAACUUAAAUAAGAUAUUACAAUUUUAUAAAAUGAUGACUAUUUACUUGCAAAUGUGUUGGUGUUAAAAUAUAAUAUGUAUAUGAGUUUGAAUCGAAUAUGAACCGUGGAUCAUGUUCGGUUAUUCGGGUAGGAUCAUAUUAUGAAAAAUUAUAUGAGCCUGAAUCUGAGCGGGUAUAGGUGUGCUCGUAUCCGGGAUCAUAUAUUAUACGGGCUUAAUUUUUCCGCCAAAUUUGGAUCGUUUUCAAAACGGAUAUGAGACAUGUAUCAUAUUUUCGAGCCGGAUAUGAGUCGAGACACCGGAUAGUCCGUAUCGAUUUACAGCCAUACAUAUGUAUAUUAGAAAAACAUUUACAGAUAAAUAAUAAAAACACUUUAUUAAUUAUAUUAUGUAAUAACAAUAUGUAUAAAAAUACUGUAAAAGUUAAAUUUGUAAGAGAAAAUAUAAUCAAGUCUAAUAUGAUAUAAUCAAACUUCAAUUCAUUAUCAUACAACCGGACAUGCAAAAAAUGACCGCAUCCAAUAGUACUAAACAAAUAAUAAAUAAGGUUAAAUAUUAAAGGGAAAAUAUAUAUUUUUUGUUACUCAAGUUAUUGUGUAUUUAGAAAUUUACCACCAACUGUAAAUUUUUUUAAUUUACUCAUUGAUGUUAGAUUCAGAUUAUUCUUUUUGUCACUAAAGUUAAGUUCGCCUUUGAUUAUUAAUAUUACUAGCCUAUAACCCGUGCGAAGCACGGGCGACCAUAUUAUUUCUUUUUUUUUAUUUGUAAGCUUAAUAUCAUUUUUUGUGUUUUAUUAUUAAUUUAAUAUAAUGGUAUUAAAUUAUAUUAACUGAUUGGUUAUAUUCACUUUUGAAAGUUUGGCUUGUACAAUAUUUUUCUCUAUUAUAAAAUAUUUUUAAGCAUAAUAAAAAAGUACAAUGGCAAUACGAUUUAGCAAUAACAUGAACAGCUUAAUGAUUGAUCACAAUCAUUUACAAACCAUCCAAAUGUAAAAAUAUCUCUAAUUCUUACUCACAUUAUGGUCAAUUUCAGAUACAUAAAUGGUGCAACGAAUAUUUUCAUCUCUUUGAGACUUAAAAGUUUUCCACUUAUCCGCUUCCUUCCCCAAGUUAGUUCUUCUCUAUUGAAACAAAAUUCGAAAACUAAAAUAUAAAUCAUAUUGACAUUGUAUAAAAAAUACUUUUAAUCACCGAAAAGGCCUCAGCAAUCUCAUGCGAACCAUGGAAGAAAUCUCCUCCGCAGCAAAUUGCUUAUCCUCACCUUUGUAAGAUACAGUACUAAAAAAUUUCACUAUAUUUCAAUAUAAUUCAGAUCCUAAAAAAUUAAAAAAUAAUUGCUUUUUUUAAGUAGAUGAGGACACUUAACUCACAAAACAGAGUCAAAUGAAUGCCACUUCAUUCUUCAAGUCCUGUUCAAAACUUGGCAAAGGAGCAUUCCUUUGGGAGGUUGUUUUCAAAUCUCUUAUUAUCUUGGCAAUAAUCAUAUAUGAGAUGAUAUUUUCUCACCAACUUGAACCACCUUCUUUGUGUCUGGCUUAAUGACCUAAACCUCUCCUUAUGCUAUCAAUUUGUCAAGCUUUCUCUGCAAAACCUUGCAUUCCCUUUCCACACACAAGCAUCAAUCUGAUAGUUCCUGAAUGAGGUAUUGAAGGGACCCUUUGACCAAUUAAUACGUUCUGCUAUCCUAUAGGCUCACUUUAAUGCUCAUUGGUUGCCACAUUGGAUAUUCAACUCCCUUGUCAGCAUAGUUCCUGCAUGUUCUUAUGGGAACAAAAUCCACCAUGAACCUACACCGAGUACAAAUAAAUAGAUUAGUACAAAUAAAUAGAUUGCUUAUAUGCUUGUGCAUCAUUUUCUGAGAUUAUACAUAUAAUCACAAAAAAAUUCAUCGUUUGAAAAUUCACUUACACAAUUUGGUAAAGAUUCCAGAGGAUGGAGUAUGUUUGAAAAUCCUUCGUCGGGUCAAACCACAAAUAUAUCCUUUCUUCUCUAUUGUCAAAGCCAUCAGCAAAAAUAUUGGUCUGAAGUAUGUAAGGCUGCCCGUACACAUUUCCAAGUAACUCAAAAUCUAUUUCAUCGUGAUUAGGCUGAUCACAUGUAAGCUGCAAUCACAAAGACAUUCUUAUCUAUAUUUCUCAAAUUGUGAGUUCUUAGGGGACAUGUCACAAUGUCCAUCAUGUGAUUUCAUCAGUAAUGUGCAUAUGCUAGCUUAACAUGAUGUACUACAUUCACUGUUAUAUUACAUAUAUUGUGUAUGUAGAAACAUGGCCAGUUAAAAAGGUGAGUUGCAGGAUUUAUUUGUCAUCUGCAAUCUAGGAGUAAUUAGCUUUACUCAAAUAUAAAUACACAAACUCUCCCACCUUGUGAGGUAUAAGGGCUUCAGUAUUAUCAUAGCCUAUUAUCUCUGUAGCCAAAUUAUAUGUCCAUCACAUUUGAUGUUUCGUCUGCUCCCGCUCCUAAUGAUGCACACUCUGUCCGGACAACCACUCACACCUAAGUUGUUAUAUAAUUGACCUGGUCUUCUCGAUUUGGAUCAACUUUAGCUGCCGAGUGAGAAUUGGGUACUUGGGAGAUUCUCCUAAAAAAUCAGUUGAGAUGCGGAUAGCUCUUUUUUUCGGACCUGGCUUGCGAAUUCCAUGACAUUGGAAUAUUAGUUAUACAUUUGUAGUUAUAUGGGCUAUGGACAGUAGAGCACCUUCAGGACCAUGUCAAGAAAUUUACUCAGAUUUGGGUGAUUAGUCCCUGCAUCUAUGAAUUAGCACCAAAUACAGUAAUACUUGGACCUAUUUACUAUGAUACUAUAUAUGAGAGAAAAUCUACAGAAUACCAAUCACACAUCAGAAAAUAUAGAAAACACUUGAAACUUCAAACUUCUUGCUGGACGCAGCAUUGACACCAAAACAUGAUAGGAUUUCAGCCUUUAGACUAAAUACCACGAAACUAAUCAACUUACAACCAGUUUAUAAAAUUACAUUCCUUCGCAAUCAUUGCAUAGAUAUUAAAGACCAAAAUAUGAGAUCUUCAUUGCACAUAGAUAAAAAGAUGCUGCAAAGCACAUUUACCUGAAUUUCACCACAUACAUAUUAAAGACCAAGAUAUGAGAUCUUCAUUGCAUAUAGAUAAAAAGAUGCUGCAAAGCACAUUUACCUGAAUUUCACCACAUACAAAUUAAAGACCAAGAUAUGAGAUCUUCAUUGCAUAUAGAUAAAAAGAUGCUGGCAAGCAUAUUUACCUGAAUUUCUCACAUAUGCAAGAUGUACUGACCACACAAGAAUUUAUCACCUGAACAUAAAAUCAGAAAAAAAAUAAAAUUAUCAUGCUACUGCGAUCUAGAAAGUAUAGAGGAGACCCCUGCUACCUGAAUAGCAAAAAGAACAGCAAUAAAUAAAUAAAAAUGAGCAAUGAGUUCUGCACUUCAGUUAUAGCAUUAUAUAAAAGACUGCUGCAGAAAAUAAAAUUAAAGAAAGUUAAGGAGUAAAAGACCUAUAAGAAAUUAUCAACCAGGCUACUCAUAGUGAUAAGAACUGAAUUCACACCAUAUAACAACUUCAUAUUGAGAAGAGAGAAAGCAUACCUAUUCUAGCGCUCUCGGUUCCACAACUACCCCAUCAGAUUCUCUAUCUCCAAACUCAACAUCUACAAACUCAACAGUCAUGAUAUAUUAUUCCUUGCUUCAGUCUUUCUCAAUUUUAUUAGAUCAUCUUCAGCACUCUUUAUAGGCAUACAUGGGUGCAUUGAGAAUAACUAACCUACUCCAUUAUCAAUCAUAUUCUUCCCUAGGUCCCCUGUACCACCAAAUGAAGACCCCCGAUCAAAACCUCCGUGUAUAUAUACAAUUUAACCAAUGAAAACAAAAGGACUUGUAAAAUGGAAUUUAAAAAGUCUUUUAACCGUAACAAUCAAUAAACUGGAAAAAUAGAGUCCCUUAUUAACUUAAAAAUAUUUUAAUUUUAAUUCCAAGCCACCAAAAUGAGCAAAGCACAGAGGAGCCUAAUAAUUAUAAAAUGAAAUGGAGAGAUUUCAGAGAUGACACGUCAUCCUCUGAAGAUCCUCCUUUAUAUAUAUAUAAGAUAAGAUUAAUAUUUCUACAACAUAGGACAUUUGCACCAGAUCCAAUAGGUCAGAAGGUAACAUAAUACCUGUAAAACUUGAACACCAGUCCAUUAACAGCCUCGUACAUAAGCCAACAACUUUAAUUUGUCAAUUAUUUUUAAUCAUAGAUAUCCGUCAUAUAUAAAUACAUAUUGAAAAAAAGAUCACAAACCUUUAUCACCAAAACAAACUUUAUGAAAUUCUCUGCAGACCAACCAAAACAAAGCAUACAGUAUACAACUAACAAAGCAUACAGUAUAGGUAACAAUCCUUUAAUGAAUACACGAGUUUCAAGUUAAUUUGGUAUAGUUAUUAACAAAAAGCAGUACCAUUUUAUGAAUGUGGAUAUAUUGGUGCUCUAAUACAGCCGAGUGAGGGUCUGAACCCACUCAUACAUCCAAGAAAAAAAAAAUUAGCACAAAAGAGUGUUACAAGUUUUUAAACUCAUUUUCCAGAUUGAUAACCUUCUCUUGUGACGCCAAAGAUUCAAGUAAUAGCAGCAGGACCAGAAGAAGAAUUAGGCAACAACUCUCUGUGACUCUCUCCGAUCACAUAAUCAAUUUCCAGCUGCUGGAAUACUAACAAUACAGUUCAUAAAUUAACAGCAGCUGAACAAAUCAUUUACUCGCAGAUGUUCGCAAAGUGUGAGAUAUAUCCAAUAUUAAUUAUAAAAAUAUGUAUAUGAAAUGCCUUGAAAAUCAAAAUGAUAUAAACAACAAAGAUGAAAUUAUCAAUCCUUAUAAGCAACUAAAUUACUGAACUUAAGAUAAAUAAACAAUGGAUAACAAAGAAAGCCAGUUAUUUAGAACACAGAGAACUCAUAUUCAUAUAUAUGUAUCCCGAAUAUACCUUCAGAGGAGAUGAAUUAUGUAGUGUUCUUGAGAGAUGGAAUGAAAAGUAGCACAGGAGCUCGCCGAGAUGAAGAGAGAGACAGCAGGCUAUGGUGAUAGGCUCUUGUAAUUCUACUCUGUCCCUCAAUCAUUUUUAAAAAAUCAGAUAAAUGGUGAGGUUUUUUUCGUGAAGGAGCCGACAAAAUCGAUGGAUUGAUACUAUAGACUACAGGUUGCAGAGAACAGUACUUACUUCAUGAAUACCUGCAGAGAAACAAAAAGCAAAUGCAAUUAGGGACGAGUUUAAGUGAGUAAAGGUAAGAAUGAGGAGAGACAGAGAUAGAAUUACCGAAGUGAGAAUAGGCGAAGUAAUAGUCGGCGCUUGUCUGGUCGGCGCCGAUGAUAGAGCCGUCGAGGCCACACAUGGCAGAAUCCUCUUCGAGAAUGGAGCUACCUGUUGUGGUUCCUUCCAAUUCAUUGUCCUCCUCGUCCUCAAAUUUUAUUUUUGAGAGCUUCUAUGAAGUAUUCAUAUCCUAGGGUUUAUCUGUGUUCAGGGUUUUCGAUUCCAAUUGAGAGCCGCUCUUGUUUGUCAAAUGUUUUAUGUAGUAUUUGGUUUUUCUUCAAAGUCGAUCUCUGUUGGGAAUAGGAGACGUAGUCUAAUGAUGACAAAAAAAUAGGACGAAAAAUGUAGUACGAAACCAAAAAACGUGAACAAAAAGUACGACCGCAAAUUAUACCCAUGUUGGCUUAUUAUAGUAUAGUAUAGAUUUAUAUUCUUUAUAGCAUUAUUAAAAUAUAAUGGUAAUCUGAAAUAUUUUAAUGAUGUGAUAUUUGUCUAUAUUUUUAUAUAUAUUACUUAGUUGUUAUAUACCCAAAAUUGUUUAUCUUAGGUGAUAAGAGUUUCACAAGCAUUGUACGGCUUCUAAAAAAUGUAGUUUAAAAUCCCCAUAAUAUAUUGUUCACACAGAAAGUAAUUUUUGGAUAAAUAUAGUGCACAAAUGGCUUCAAAUAUAUGUUUUAGAGUGUGAUAGUAUGGUCAUCUCGGUAACUGAAAAGAGCCGGCAUGAAGGAGAAAAGUAACACAAAGACUUGCAAAUGCUGCCUCUCACCUAAAUAAAAUAAGCUGGAUGCAUCUUUUAAACAUAGUUUAAAGGAAGCAUAUUUUUUCGUGACAAGGAUAAACAUUAUAAUCAUAAACAUUGUCUGCACAAGGCCAUAGUUUGUGUUUUACAUCGAAGAUAAGAAUCUUAUAGAGUCAAAUCAAACUUGUAAGUUUGCAUGCAAUUCUAUUCUAACAUUCUUACAUAAUAUUUGGCAAGUCUGUGUCAUUAAAAUUUACUGGAAAUGAAAGUGUUUGCAUAUCUUUACACAAAAUGUGUAGAAGUAAAUUGUAAAAAGUUGUAAUUAUAUAUCAUUGUGUGACACCUGCACAUUAAAAUAUCUCAUCUAGUUCAGGAACAACCCGUACACAUUGGGGACAACACAUGUUAGUGUGUUGCUUGGUAGAUUUUGAGAUAAAUCAGUGUUAAACAUUUCAGAUUUAUUUGUAAAAAACUGCAUUCGUAAUGACUAUUUACAUCCUUCUCACUGGAAUCUUUACCUCGGAGAUUGAUUUGAUAGAAAGCUCUUUUGCAUAGGUCUCAUUUGCAGUACAUACUGCUUUGCAGUAGGAGCCAAUAAGGAGUCUGUCUUGCCAUUUGAUCUAUCUUUGAGGGCGUUCAAAGGUGCGUAAUCAACAUUAAAGUAUGAUGAUCCUUGUUGCAUCUGUGCUUGACAAUGUAUCAUUGUGGGUGAGUCUGCAAUGUUAGCAGUAAAUAAUUGGUUACAACUAUACCAUUAGAAAAAAGCAUUUGAGUUGUUGGUGUUCAUAUUAUAACAUGUGUAAUUAAAGUUUAAUAUUUUACGAGACUUGUAGACAUCUUGGUGAGUUGGAUUAUUGAGCCUGUCACCUGAUAAUUUUUUGCCAGCAGUCUAGUAAUGACAACAAAAGUAGCCCUCUCUUCCACGUCCAUGAUUAAAGUCAUGGAUCGGAGUUUAUCAACUGAGAUGAGUUAAGUACUUUACAAAAUGAUAUGUUUUGUUAGCAAGAAACAUGUAAACCACCGUAAUGAGAUUAUUAGUUGUUAAGAAAUUAUAAUUACCAGAACGAGAAACCAACACAGUAAGAAAUUAGGGAUAAGCAUCAGAUUCAAGCAAAUUAUAUCUCAGUGUUUCUCAGUGUCACUGUUAGCUUGUGACUUGAUGCUUAAAGUUUAGGGUAAUUACAUCUUCUUCUGAUUAUUAGCACUUAUUUAAACUAAUUGUGAUAUUUAUUUAUAGCUCCAUAUACAAGUUUCCGUGCUCAAUCUCCAGGACUUGUUUGGGAACAGGAUGUUUGUUACGCUUGUCCGACAUCACAAGUUAGGUCGUGCGCCAAAAUUGCUUUUAUGAACUUAUCUUGAUUAAAUGACUUACUUUAAAUAUUAUGGCUUGUUAUUUCUUAAUGUACAGGCAAUGCUUAUCGACUUUUUAAAAUUUCUUCUCCAGACCAAACGCAGAAAAUCACACAUAUCGAGGAUGGACGGAUAAAAGCAUCCCGAAAAGAUUAUAAUAUAGGUUGUACCAAUUUAUAAUUUAAUAUUUAUGAUAUCUUCAAAUUUUACUCCAAACUACAGCCUAAUUAUUUCCUAACAAGUUAGGAUAUCUAAAUUCAUUCCUUAAAAAGUAGCAGUUCCAAAUUAUAAUUUAAAAAUUACGAUAUUUUUAAAUAUCAAUCCAAACUACAUCUUAAUUAUUUCUUCAUACGUUAGAAUAUUUAAAUUCAUUCCUUAAAAAGUACAAGUUCCUUAUCUUAUGUUUAAGAAUAAAAUAUUCAUUUUCUUCUUCUUUUCACUUUUUCCCUCCACAUUGCUUCCCUUGUAAUAGACUUUGAUUUUAAAUAUAUAUAAUAAUAAUAGGGAGUAUAAGAAUUGUUGUAUGUAAUUUAGUAUAAAUUCUAAUCUAUUGCAAGUUAAAUUUAUUAUGCUUAAGAAUAAAAUAUUUAUUUUCUUCUUUUUCACUUUCUUCUGUCCUUGUUUCACAUUUUUUUCUUUCUAAUGGAGUUUGAUUAUAAACAUAUAAAAAUAGCAAAGAGUACAAGAAUUGUUCGAAUUGUAAUUUAAUAUAAUAUCCUAAUCUACUUUGAUUUAAAUUUAUUAUUAUAUAUUUAAGAACUUGCUGGGGGAUCGCCCUUAGAGAUCCGGUAUGUCAGAUUCAUACGCGGGUUUUUUCUUUUAAAACUUGAGGUAUUUGAUUGGAGUGUUUUAUUAUUUAUUUUAUUCGUAUAGCAAACUGAAACGGAAUACUUCAGCAUUGUCAACUAGAGCAUAGAAUUUCAAAAACUUAUGAAAAGCAUACCAGGGAAACUUGAGGUUACGAGAUCCUGCACCUUAUUCUAAAAAAAACAACAAAAAAGUUCCACCCAGCUGACUUUAAAGACCUGGGCAGACUAGUCUGAUCAGCCGUUCAAGUUCUUUAUCUGAGAGCACUGGCCAAAUGAAGGUUUCUGCAAUGCACUGAGAAGUCUGCAGACAUCAGAAUCAGAUUACCUCAACUAAGGUCAUCAGACAUCAGUAUCUAAAAGUAGUGAAGAAGAGAAAUUAGAAACGGGUUAAUUAUCAAGUUAGUCACUGAAAUGAACUUAAUGUAUCAAGUUGGCCACUGAACUCAAAACGGUAUCAAGAUGAUCACUAAAGUCACCAUAAAUAUCAAACAAGUACCUUGAAAUAUGAGUUCAAAUAAUAAAAAUAUUAUUUAUAAAGUUUUAUACAUUAUUUUUACAUGUUACCACAACCAACUAUAAGGUUAUGACUUCUAGUAUUUAAAAUAAUAUAUAUUUAUAUUUUAUCAAAUUUAUUUAUUAUUUAUAUUUUAUUAUAUAAUUAUUUUCUUUGUUUUAUUUAAAAAUAAAUAAUAAAUAAAUUUAAUAAAAUCUAAAUAUAUUAUGAUAUAUAUUAGAAGUCAUAACCUUUUACUUGGUUUUGAUAACAUUCAAAAAUAAUGUGUAAAACUUUAUAAAUAAUAUUUUUAUUGCUUGAAUUCAUAUUUUAAGGUACUUAUUUGAUAUUUAUGGCCACUUCAGUGACCAUCUUGAUACCGUUGAUACCGUUUUGAGUUCAGUGACCAACUUGAUAUAUUAUGCCCACUUCAGUGACCAAUUAGAUAAUUAACCCAAUUAGAAACCUAUGACCAGUGACAGAUUAUAGGGUGCACAAGACAGUCACUGCAAGCAAGGAACUGGUUCCACCUUCCUCAUUGGCAAGGCUUCAUAAAGCCACAAAAAGAUCAUCGCUCUCCCUGAUGAAAGAUGGAACCAAAUCUGUUCUGAGGAUUGAAUAAUUUGUCGGGUACCUCUUCUUCCUAUCAUAUAUGUACUCAAUAGUCAAUACACUUCCUUACUGCAUAACAAAAAGAAACCAGUCAUCAAGCUUUCCCUAUUGCAUAACAAAAAAACCAAGAAUCAAGCAUUCGGAUCGAAAUCAAAAAACAUAUAUAAAAACCUUUUCUCCCUCCCCAAUCCCCAUGAUCAAAUUCAUGAGCUCGAAACCUCACUCUCCCCCGAAAUACUUAAUAAAAUAAUCCAUUAAAAUAUAUGUAACAAAUCCAUUAAUUGAUUUUGCAGUUUUUUUUCUUUUUUUUUUGCUAAAUCUCUUUAGUUGUUUUGGCAGUUUUGAUUAUACAAUUUCAACUCAGUAGCUUAGUAUUUGAAAUGGACUACUAUCAAGCAGCAUUGAUAAAACUGGUAACUGAAGUAACUAUGGAAAGUAAGCCAUACACAUACAAGCUCUUUAUCUCAUUUCGUUGAUAAUUCAAAACUGCAAUUAAGCUAUAUUAAGUCUUUUAGUUAUUUCACAUAAUAAAGACAUUAAGAUAAAAAAAUCUAUAAACAAAAAGUCAAUGUAGUGCAGAGAAGCUCCAUUCUUAAAUUUAAAUUCAACAAAAUUAUAUCAAAAUAACACCCAAUCAUUUGUAAUCAGUCAGACAAGAACUGCAAAUUUAACGACGACAUUUGAAAUGAAUACUGCCAGGGUAGCAGACCCUAGAAAUUAAAAUGUUGGCAAAUUGAAAAUUAUGUACCUUCGCAAUCUCUCACUCUGUUAGACCUAUGGCAAAUACUUAUUAUGCAGAGCAAGAAAAGCAGGUUCCUGUUCUUGUGAUUUAAGUAGGAAAUUUCCGUGCUUGCACCUGUCUGCAUGUACGAAAAUAACCUUGCAAUAUAGUGCGUUAAAUCUGAAUAGUUGGUGUCAAAUCUUGAAAAAUGCUGGCGAAAUCAAAAAGUGGGCCCUCUCUUUCUUUGUCACACCUAUGGAAAGUACUUCUCACGCAAGGCAAGGAGAGGAGCAUCCGGUUCAUGCACUUCAAUUUAGUCUAGUAACGCAGAUGCCGUAGAUGCAUCUGCUGCAAACCGACGACCAAGCAUUUCAUCUAGGAGUACACCUGCUUCACAGUAAUUCUUAUUCUGUAAACAACCGCGGAUAAGCAUGUUGUAUGUGACAUCAUUAGGCAAGCAAUCAUUAGCUUCCGUUUCCCUGAAUAGUUCAUUCGCUUCAUCCAAAAACCCUUCAUGAAAAUAUGCUUCGAUCAUCACUGUUUAUGUCUUGACAUCAGAUCGUACACAUUUCAUAGAAAGGUUAAAAAGGCUUCUUGUGUUCUCCAGAUGUCCAUUUUUGCUUAGUCCAUCAAUCAGAAUAGUGUAAAC